GGAGGCUGCUGAAGGGGAGAAAGGAGUGAGGAGCUGCUGGGCAGAGAGGGACUGUCCGGCUCCCAGAUGCUGGGCCUCCUGGGGAGCACAGCCCUCGUGGGAUGGAUCACAGGUGCUGCUGUGGCGGUCCUGCUGCUGCUGCUGCUGCUGGCCACCUGCCUUUUCCACGGACGGCAGGACUGUGACGUGGAGAGGAACCGUACAGCUGCAGGGGGAAACCGAGUCCGCCGGGCCCAGCCUUGGCCCUUCCGGCGGCGGGGCCACCUGGGAAUCUUUCACCAUCACCGUCAUCCUGGCCACGUAUCUCAUGUGCCGAAUGUGGGCCUCCACCACCACCACCACCCCCGCCACACCCCUCACCACCUCCACCACCACCACCACCCCCACCGCCACCAUCCCCGCCACGCUCGCUGAGGCUGCUGUCGCCGGUGCCUGUGGACAGCAGCUGCCCCUGCCCUCCCAUCUGUUCCCAGGACAAGUGGACCCCAUGUUUCCAUGUGGAAGGAUGCAUCUCUGGGGUGAACGAGGGGAACAAUAGACUGGGGCUUGCUCCAGCUGCAUUUGCAUGGCAUGCCCCAGUGUACUAUGGCAGCAGAGAAUGGAGGAACACUGGGUCUGCAGUGCUGAAGGGUUUGGGGAGUGGAGAGCAAGGGUGCUCUUUCGGGGCUGGACAGCCCGUCUUGUGACAGUGACUCCCAGUGAGCCCCAGAAAUGACAAGCGUGUCUUGGCAGAGCCAGCACACAAGUGGAUGUGAAGUGCCCGUCUUGACCUCCUCAUCAGGCUGCUGCAGGCCUCUGGCGGGCAGGGCACUGGGAGAGGCCCUGAGAAUGUCCUUUUGGUUUGGAGAAGGCAGUGUGAGGCUGCACAGUCAAUUCAUCGGUGCCUUAGUCCAAGAAAAUAAAAACCACUAAGAAGCUUUUGUGAAGAGGCUCUUGAUUGCAGCAUAGUGGGAGGGAGGGAGCUGCCUGGCCUGUGUCCUCAUUGCCCUGGGACCUCCCUCUCUGAUGGGAAGCGUGUGGCUGGAGCAGGCGAAGGUUGGAGCCGCUGCGAGCCUGGCUCCCCAGGGCUCUGCCCCUGUACUUUUUUCAGCCCAUGUCCAGGGCAGACUGAGCUCUGAAACUCGAGGAAGCCCCAUCCACAGGCUGCCUUGAAUCCAGUUUCCUUGGUAAUUGGAUCAGGGUUUCUUCUCCAAGCCUUGCGUUUUCAGCCAUCCUGCCCCAGCUGGUGCCUGUGUGUGGUGGGAGGGCUGGGAGGCAGCGAGUGGAGUUCUUUAAAGUGGAGGCUGUGGUGCUGGGGUGCAGGGUGUUGGAUGGCCUUGGGAGAAUGCUGGGGUCUCACUUUCCUCUUCUCUGCAAUGGGGUGGAUAACAGAGAUGCCCACGUGCCGAAGCCUGGAGGCUCGUUGGAAUAUGCUCUGUGAACAGCUAGUGGGAUCCACAGCGAGGAAGGAAGCCUGGCUCUGAGGCCUUCAGCCUGUGCCUGUGAGCUGAGGUGGGAAUUGGGGGAAGACAAGGACUGGGGGCCAGGAGAGGCAGUGGGGAGGGGCUGGAGAGCAGGCCAGAGACUCAGGGACCUGGUGACUCACUGGAAUAGAAUGUCCUCUUUCCUUUCUAUUUCCCAGUGGAUUCUCUGUGAGGGCUGCAGGAGGAGGGAGUGAGAGAGAGAGGGAGGCAAAUUCACACUGAUUUCUCCCACCUGAGGUUUCUGGGUUGGGAAAGUUGACCCUAGGCUGCCGUGCAGUGUCGAUUUUCUCUGCAGUGUCCUUCAAAUCCACCCCCUUCUCCAUUCCCAUGCCCUGCCUAGCCCAGCCCCCUCCAUCCCCCUCCUGGAUUCCUGCCAGCCUGCUCCCUGCAGCCCUGCCCCUUUCCCAGGCAUCUCCAGGCUGAUUUCACAGAUGAAUCAAAGAUGGGGAGGAGGUUCCCCGAAAGCAGGAAACGGAAAAGGAAGCCUAUGCAGGGCAGGAGAGAACCCGCUGAGCAAUUGCCCUUUAUUCCAGUUCAAAAAUGCGGAACCACUCAGACAAUCUGCAGGCGGCCUAUGGCUGCGUGUACACAGGAAGAAUAGGCGAUGAGAAAUCAAAGGAACAAAUGUUAAAGCUUGAGGCAUAGUCUCCUGGUGCCCUCUAUCACCCCAGUUAAGGAGGUGAUGUUGGUAACUCAACCUGAAACCACAGGCCCUGCAGAUCAGCCCGUCGUCUCCUUCCUCCUGGUCAUCCCAGUUAAUACAAACAAUCCAAGGAAUUGGCUUCCUGUCAUGGCCCACAGCCUGCUCCAUGUGGAGGAGGAGCCCAGGGCCCAGAUGGUCUCAUCAUCUCAGAAAAGGGACAGAUUGAGAAUAUGACAGGCUAUCGUUUGCUCUGAAAAGUUGCUCUCCCAUUCUGUGCAAAGUGCCAGUUUCCUAAUGCUGAUACUAAAGAAAGUUCCCUUGGGCCUUGGAGAAACUGAAAAGGACCCAGGCUAUGUGAACUUGGGCCAGCCCUCUGCCCUUUCUGGCACUUUGCACCCAGAUCAUUAAAACCGCAGAAUCAGAUGGUCGCUCUGUGGUCCCAUGGUAACUGGAAAGUGCACUGAGCUAGGAGUGGAGGGAGGGCGGUCCCUCCUCGGCCAUUGCUCGUGCCUGUUAACAUGGCUAAUUCAGAAUGGGGGGCAGGUCAUUUAACUUCUAUGACCAUAGGAUCUUUUUCUAUAAAAUGGAGGCUAUAUCGCUAUGCAGGGUUGCUGGGGAGGUUAUAUGAGAUCAUGUCUGGUGAGGUCCCAUGCCUGGAGUUAUUGUUCUCACUACUCUGUUUCCCAGAAUAUGGACAAAGUGGGGCUAAUAGCCCAGUCUCCUUUCUGGAAGUGGUGGGGGUCUCAGGAGGUGCUGGGUGUGAAAGGGCUCUCACCUGGCAGACUAACUCAGUUGCCUGGGCCUAGCUUAUUCCCCUGACCUCCUGGCAGGGAGGAGGGUGGAAAAGGCCUGGGGUGCGCAUGGCGGGACGGGAUAACUGCUGAGCGGGGGUUGGAGGGCUGCAGUGUGGGUCCUGGGCCCUCGCUCACAAUUGGAGGAAAGAAUUCAGGAAGUGCUCACAGCUGCUCAGACAUCUCGGAGCCAAGUUCCAACCAGGACAGAGGCUGCAGCACCCAGGGAGGAACGCCGUGGUCCCUGGGACGGCCACCAGGCCAGGAGGCUGCAGCACCAGGGAAUCUGUGCUCACGUCUUCCAGGACAGUGCUUCUUCUAGAAGCUGACAUGGAGCUGACCACAGCUCUUGGAGGCAUGGCCUGAGGCUUAGAAAAUAGACAGAGAUCAUCUGAGAUUUCAGCAGUGGGGCCACGUGGCAGCGCCCGAAGGCCUGGAGCAGGAGCGACCCAGGGACUCAGAGCAGCAUCUUCUUAGGAGACGGAAGGAGAGCCGCCGGAGGAGCACGGGGCACCUGCGAUCGCGAAGAGCCUCCUGUUCUGGAUGGGAGCGAAGGCUCCGAGAGGACCUAAGGUUGCUCAGUGGGCCAUGGAAACGGCAGUGAUUGGGGUGGUGGUGGUGCUGUUCGUGGUGACUGUGGCCAUCACCUGCGUCCUCUGCUGCUUCAGCUGUGACUCAAGGGCCCAGGAUCCUCAGGGGGGUCCUGGCCGCAGCUUCACGGUGGCCACGUUUCGCCAGGAAGCUUCUCUCUUCACGGGGCCUGUUCGCCAUGCCCAGCCAGUGCCAAGUGCCCAGGACUUCUGGACCUUCAUGUGACGCCCGAGUCCCCAGGAUUUGCUGUGCUGAUGGGUCAGACUCACCCGCUCCUCAGCAAGCCUUCCCUGGCCUUCCCCUCCUCCCAGGGCCUUCUCCCUGUCCUUCCCCUCCAGUAACCUGUGAACUUCCCGUCUCCUCCCAUUCCAGCCUUCUGUGCCCUCCAGCCUCAGGGAUCCUUGUUAUUGGGACAGCCCAGCUGGGGUUGACCCACAGGAUGGGGCUUAGGAGAGCUCUGAGGAGUGAGUGAACAGACAGCGCCGGAGUGCACGGUGGGCCGGCUCUGCUGAUCUACACCAGGAACUGAAAUAUCACUGGAAUUUAUUGUAAACGGUGUGCCUAUGAUGCUGGUUCUGUUGCCACCUGGGCACGCAGCACCCUCAAGUGGACAUUUCUAGAAACCGCUUCUUACUUGCUCCUAAUUGAUUACUUUUGCACAUUGCACAGAACCCAACCUCGAGGCCUGCUCCCUGCCAGUUGCCUGAAAUCAGCCCUGAAAUUCUGAAACCAAAGAGCUGCUUCCUGAGAACAAGUUAUUUACCUUAGAAUUGAAAAUGUAUAUCCUUUUAUGGGCCUUUCCAAAUCUGAUUAGAAAAACCACAAAAGGAAACAGAAGAGAAAAUAAGAGCCACAGAAAGUACAAUAUGUUUUAUUAACAGGAAAGCCAGAAAUAAGAUAUUUUAAACAUAUUUUUAAUGAGACUUUAUUGCUAUAUUCCAACAGGUCACUCCUAUUCUUAGAGAAUGUGAAUGACUUGUGUCACUUCGGAGUGACAGAAAAAUCAGGAACUGAAAGAUAAUUCCAGACAAGUUAAAAUGUUAUGUUACAUUCAAAGCUCUUGUUUUCAUCACAAAUAAGGGGAUAUUCAGUUUUUAUUAACAGAAAACCCAUUCUCCCAUGGCCAUGGAAUAAAUGCCAUGCUAUAUUUAAGGAGUUUGGUUUGAAGGGUGCAAAAUUGUGAGCCUCCUGGCUCUUAUGUCUGUAUCCAGCCCUGAAUAGAUGGCUCUCCCAGGACCUGUUUGUUGAGGGGGGCAGGACUGAGCUUUAGGGGGGCUCUGGCCUCUAAGGGUGUCCAGACAGGCUGCCCUUGCCAUGUGGCUGCCAUGGGAAGGGCUUUCAGAGUGGCUUGGAGCUGGAGAGGUGCACGCGGGGAGGGGGAAGUGGUGGGGAGAGUGAGGCUGACGGAGAGGGAUGGGGAGGAGCAUGGUGGGCGAGGCUCAGCCCAGGUCCAGGAGCUCCUGGGACCAUGUCCUGGACACUCCUGACACCAGCCCUCGACGCAGGGCCUUCAGAGAUGCACAGAGAAGGGAACGGCACAUGUGGGGAGGCCCUGGAGACGGAGGGAAGAGAACUUUUGAGGGCUGUGUUCUCUAAAAGCGAACAGUGAGACAAAGUUCGGGUGCAAGAUAUUUGUCAGGGAUCAACACCUACAAAGGGGAGAAGGAAGAAGCAGGAUUGGGCAGAGGAAGAAGUCAAACCGUGAUGCAGGUCCUUCAUAUCCCCACCUUUGCUCCGUCUCUGAGUCCCUCUCCCCUCUCCCAGGGUCUGACCUCAGCCAGGGCAGCUCUCUGCAGCUGAGGCAGGUCUUGAAGCCCUUCCUAUUUUAUUAUUUUUAUUUUAUUUUAUUUUAUUUUAUUUUAUUUUAGGAGAUGGGAUCUCACUCUGCCACCUGGGCCAGAGUGCAGUCGUGUGAUCAUAGGUCACUGCAGCCUCAAAUUCCAGGGCUCAGUCAAUCCUCCCACCUCCGCCUCCUGAGUGGCUGGGACUAUAGGUGCAUGCCACCGUGCCUAGCUAAUUAAAAAAUCCUUUUCUUGUAGAGAUGGGAUUUCACUAUGUUUCCAAACCUGGUCUUGAACUCUCCUGGCCUCAAGUGAUCCUCCCACCUUGGCCUCCCAAAAUGUUGGGAUUACAGGUGUGAGCCAUUGCAUUUGGCUGAAGUCCUUCCUUUGAAGGGGACCUGGGCAGCACAUCUCCACAGAAACUCUGUAGGGUCCUGUUCUUGGAAGAGCCUAGACUGGUCAGAGGUGGGUGAAUAUGUCCAGACACAAAGAAAAACCUGGGCACAGGAGAUCUAUGAGAGGAGAGACGGCCGUGCAGGAUCUGGAAGGGAGAAGAGUGGGCCUCAGUCUCCCUCUCUCCUCAGCCAGAGUCAGCUCUGCUCCAGCUCAGGCACCCUUCACCAGGAGCCAGGCCCAGGGCUCUGCUCUUGUACUGUGUGGUCACAGCACUCACUAGGUCAGUCCGGGAGGGUCUGCAGGCUGGAAUCACAGGGCCGUGAAAACAAAGUGCUGGUGAAGCGGGCAUGGGGAGGGAGCCUGGCCUCCCUCUGCAGGAGACAGGCUGUCUGCCAAGCCCGGCACGCUCUUCAUUUGUUCACCUGCCCAUCUGCCCAUCCAUCCACCCACCCAUCCAUCUACUCCUGGAGUAGAUGCCGCCUCACUUACCCAUGCAUUCAUUCACUUAUUCAUUCACUCCUCCGUUCAGUAAACACUGACUGGGCACUGACUGUGUACCCAGCCCGGCCAAGGGAACGUGGGGGUCAACUGGACAUUUGGAUCCCGUGGACUCCUAGAUAAGGCUGUAUGUGUGUGGUGUGUUUUAUGUGGGUAUGAUGAGUAUGUGGUGUGUGUGUAAGCUGUAUAUGUGUAGUGAGUGUGUGUGGUGUGUGUUUUUGUAUUCUGUGAUGUGUGUGUAAGCUGUAUGUGUGUAGUGAGUGUGUGUGUUUUUGUUUGCUGUGGUGUGUGUGUAAGCUGUAUGUGUGUAGUGAGUGUGUGUGUUUUUGUUUGCUGUGAUGUGUGUGUAAGCUGUAUGUGUGUAGUGAGUGUGUGUGUUUUUGUUUGCUGUGGUGUGUGUGUAAGCUGUAUGUGUGUAGUGAGUGUGUGUGUUUUUGUUUGCUGUGGUGUGUGUGUAAGCUGUAUGUGUGUAGUGUGUAUUUUUUUAUGCUGUGGUGUGUGUGUAAGCUGUAUGUGUGUAGUGUGUGUGUUUUUGUAUGCUGUAGUGUGUGUGUAAGUUGUAUGUGUGUAGUGAGUGUGUGUGUUUUUGUUUGCUGUGGUGUGUGUGUAAGCUGUAUGUGUGUAGUGUGUGUGUUUUUGUAUGCUGUGGUGUGUGUGUAAGCUGUAUGUGUGUAGUGUGUGUGUUUUUGUAUGCUGUAGUGUGUGUGUAAGUUGUAUGUGUGUAGUGUGUGUGUUUUUGUAUGCUGUGGUGUGUGUGUAAGCUGUAUGUGUGUAGUGUGUGUGUUUUUGUAUGCUGUGGUGUGUGUGUAAGCUGUAUGUGUGUAGUGUGUGUGUUUUUGUAUGCUGUAGUGUGUGUGUAAGUUGUAUGUGUGUAGUGAGUGUGUGUGUUUUUGUUUGCUGUGGUGUGUGUGUAAGUUGUAUGUGUGUAGUGAGUGUGUGUUUUUGUAUGCUGUAGUGUGUGUGUAAGCUGUAUGUGUGUAGUGAGUGUGUGUGUUUUUGUAUGCUGUAGUGUGUGUGUAAGCUGUAUGUGUGUAGUGAGUGUGUGUGUUUUUGUUUGCUGUGGUGUGUGUGUAAGUUGUAUGUGUGUGGUGAGUGUGUGUGUUUUUGUAUGCUGUGGUGUGUGUGUAAGUUGUAUGUGUGUAGUGUGUGUUUUUGUAUUCUGUGAUGUGUGUGUAAGCUGUAUGUGUGUAGUGAGUGUGUGUGUUUUUGUAUGCUGUGGUGUGUGUGUAAGUUGUAUGUGUGUAGUGAGUGUGUGUGUUUUUGUAUGCUGUAGUGUGUGUUGGCCCCAGGUACCCCUGCCAUUCUCCGCAGUGUAGCCUGCUGUAUAAGAAGCAGGAGGGGCCCAGCAACAGGGCAGCGGAAGCCUCUUGCUAUGACGGUGGCCUCUUCCUAUUGUCCCCAAGGGCAGGAGGUGGCUGUGCAGGGACAAGACUGAGGCUGGCGCCAACAUGCAGCAAAGCCGGGAGUGCUUAUCUGGUGGUAGUGAGGGAAGCGGCUGUGCAAGGUCACCCUGGAAUCUGGGGUGGAGCCACACUCAGGCCUCCCAGCUUCCAAACCGAGCAUUCUCAAUUCUACUUCUCUUGCUGGUUCCAUUUACUUGCCUUUUUUUUUUUUGGAGACGGAGUCUUGCUCUGUCGUCCAGGCUAGAGUGCAGUGGCAUGAUCUUGGCUCACUACAAGCUCUGCCCCUGGGGUUCAUGCCAUUCUCCUGCCUCAGCUCCACAGGAGCCCGCCACCAUGCCCUGCUAAUUUUUUUGUAUUUUUAGUAGAGACGGGGUUUCACCGUGUUAGCCGGGAUGGUCUCCAUCUCCUGACCUCGUGAUCGCCUGCUUCAGCCUCCCAAAGUGCUGGGAUUACAGGCGUGAGCUACCGCGCCCAGCCCAUUUACUGGACUUUUAUGACACACCAGGCACAUUGUGCUUCCUCUGUGUCCUCUCAUGAGUGUAUACAGCAACUCCAUCACCUCCAUUUUACAGAUGAGGGAACCGAGCCCCCAUGCUUUGAGCCACUUUGGGCAAAUACCAAAUCUGCAGAACAGUGCUAAGUAGUCAUUUUCCUCCAUAAGUGAUAUCUGCAUCCAGCCAAUUCUCAGGGACACAGUUCAUAUCUUCAGGAGGAAGGGAGCCAGGGGAUCUGAUUUGCUCCAGGUUCACCUGAGCAAAAGCCUUGCUGGCACCUACCCAUCUGCACCUUUUUUUUUUUUUUUUUUUUUUGAGGCAGAGUCUGGAUCUGUCGCCCAGGCUGGAAUGCAAUGGCACGAUCUCAUCUCACUGCAACGUCCGCCUCCUGGGUUCAAGCAAUUCUCAUGCCUCAGCCUCCCGAGUAGCUGGGAUUAAAGGUGCACACGACCACCCCUGGCUAAUUUUUGUAGUUUUUGCAGAGAUGGGGUUUCACCACGUUGGCCAGGCUGGUGUCAAACUCCUGGCCUGAAGUGAUCCACUGGCCUCGGCCUCCCAAAAUGCUGGGAUUACAGGUGUGAGCCACCACUCCCGGCCCCAUCUGCAUCUUUGACUUGAAGAAGAAGCAGGUCUUUGCCCUGUACAGUUUUAAUUGACAGUCCAGGAAGCCUCCCUCAUAGAGUAAACUUCUGUGGACGGCUGGAAUUAAGGGUUAACAGACAUCAGUCCUGACCCAGCCUGCUUAAGGCCUUCCUAAGGCUUUGCACCUGCAGAGAUACAGGCCGUGCCUCUCUGAGCAAUGAGUCUUGCUUCUCCUUCACUUCCUGGGGCUUCUCUCAGCUCCACAUGGGGCAAAGAGCAGGGAGAACCCUGCUCAGUUCUGUCUAGCCCGACUGGGACGUGGAAAGGCUAAUCCGAGCCCCACUUCUGCCACUCAGUUGCUGGGCCUCAGUUUCCCUGGCUGUACGGAGAAGGUAAGAAUCCCAUCCCGGCUUGUCUAGAGGACGUGUUAGAGUGAAGAUCCUGGGAACCCAGCUGUCAGGAACGGUCAAGGGAAAGAGGCCCGCCCCGCUCUGCCUGCCCUCCUCCCCACCACCUCCAACCCUCGCCCUGCUCUUUCUCCGCAUUCCUGGACCUGAAACCAGGGUGGCGUUUCUCGCUGGGACAGGCUGGAUUCUGGAAUCUAGGAGGCCUUGAAAUAACAUGUUUUCCGGAAAAGUACCUUCCUUAAAGGAAACUGCUUGUUCCAGGGAGUAGAAAAGGAUCAUUGUACCUUGCCAGGUCCCCAUUCCCCUGAGGACAUGACAUUUGAAAAGGCAGACUCAGUUGGAGACAGAGACCUGCACCCCCUGCCCUGUGCCUCCAUCCAGCAUAUUCGUAAUAGUGAAAAGUUAGAAACCACCUCGACACCAGCAGGAGGGGGCUGGGCUGGCAAAUUGCAACACAGCCACAGAAUCAAAUGCUAGGCAGGUGUUAACGACAAUGAGGUAAAUUUAAACUCAUUAACCUGAAAGGGCAUUUAUCAUGUGUUGGUAAAUUAAAAGGGAAUUAGAGGACUAUAAAUGUAGCUGCACCCUUAGACGCAUAGAAGACGAUGUGGAGAGCUGUAUGCCGAGGUGUUGAUAGGCCAUUGUCUCUGGGUGGGUGGGACUGUUUGUGCAUUUUAUUUUUUAUUUACUUACUUUUUUUUUUUUUUGAGAUAGAACUUUGCUCUCUUUGCCCAGGCUGGAGUGCAGUGGCACGAUCUCGGCUCACUGCAUCCUCUGCCUCCUGGGUUCAAGUGAUUCUCCUGCCUCAGCCUCCCAAGUAGCUGGGACUACAGGCAGGCGCUACCACACUUGGCUAAUUUUGUAUUUUUAGUAGAGACAGGGUUUAACCAUGUUGGCCAGGCUGGUCUUGAACUCCUGACCUCAGGUGAUCUGCCCACCUCGGCCUCCCAAAGUGCUGAGAUUACAGGCGUGAGCCACUGCGCCUUGCCUAUUUGUGCAUUUUAAAUGUUUUCCCUUUGUGUUUAUCUGAAUUUCUCAUAAUGAAUGAUUUGCUCUUGAAUAAGAAAGAGCAAGAACCUAACAAAGGAACAAAAGUUAUUUUAAAAAUUAUAAAACAAACCAACUCCAAUCUAAGAGAUACAAAAACACAGUCAGGCAUAGACACAAAAAUGGGGGCAGAUGAAUUUCUCAGAACAGAUACAAUGAUAAGGACACACACACACAUACACACAGACACACACCUCUCUUCUGCCUAAUUCACAUGGCUGAGGUAGGCAAGGCUGGGGAGUUGCAAGCGGUAGGGGUUUGCCAAGUUUCCAGGAACACCGGAGUCUGGGUGUUGGGGUGGCUGCUGGAGCUUCUGGGCAGGUUGGGUGGGCUGAGGAGAGUACAGGGAGCAGCCUGGGGCUCACUAGCCUGAGUGAGAGGCCUGGCUGUACGACACCCAGCCUGCACCUCCUGGGACAGGGUAAGGCUCCUAAUCCCAGCUCCCCAGUUCAGGCAAGACUGAGGAGCCUGCCAAAGCAACUCUUCCCCAUCCCAGCAGUGGAGGGAGACAGCAGGGUCCACAGCUGGGGAGGAGCUUCCUGGCAACCACCUACGACUUCCAGGCUGAGGCCUUGUCAGCUGCCUACGGACCCCACUUAGGAAGCCAGGGCUGUGGUGGCUCAUACAGGGACCCUCUGUCCUUGUCCUCCUGAGAUACAGGCACAGCCACAGCCCUGGUGUGGGGCCUGGCCUGAGGCAAGGGGUGGAUGCAUGUCCUCCAUCAUCCCCACUGUCACUGUGCUUGCGCAGACCUCACCAUGUCAUCUCCUUAUGGGCCUCCCUGGCCUCACCUCACCCCUGCCCACCCGGCCGCCAGAGAGCUCUUUCUUGGACACAGACCUAACUCCUUAGAGGGCUAUUGGGUGGGUCUCUGUUCCCACCUUCAGAGUUCGCUAUCUGUGGUAGGCAUAAUAAUCAUCCCUCAAAGAUGUCCAUGUCCUAAUCCCUAGAAGCUGAGAAAAUGUUAUGUUCACCAAGGGGAAUUAAGAUUGCAGAUGAAAUCACAGUUGCUAAUCGGUAGACCUUAAAUAAGAUUAUCCCAGAUUAUCUGGGCAGGCCCAAUGCAGUAAGAAAUGUCCCUUCACUGUGGAGGAGGAGGGCAGAGGAGUCAGGGCAGGUGAUGUAAGAAAGACCUGAAGACAGAAGCAGGCCACCAGCCAAGGAGUGUGAGAGUCUCUAGAAACCAGAAAGGAAAAGACAAGGAAAAGCAUUCUCCCCAGUUGCCUCCAGAUGGGAACAUAGCCCUGCCAACAUCUUUUUUUUUUUUUUUUUUUGAGACUGAGUCUCGCUCUGUCGCCCGGGCUGGAGUGCAGUGGUGCGAUCUCGGCUCACUGCAAGCUCCGCCUCCCAGGUUCACGCCAUUCUCCUGCCUCAACCUCCCCGCCCGGCUAGUUUUUUGUAUUUUUAGUAGAGAUGGGGUUUCACUGUGUUAGCCAGGAUAGUCUCGAUCUCCUGACCUUGUGAUCCGCCCGUCUCAGCCUCCCAAAGUGCUGGGAUUACAGGCGUGAGCCACCGCGCCCGGCCUGCCCUGCCAACAUUUUGAUUUUAGCCUAGUGAGUCCUAUUUUGGUCUCUGAUCUCCAGAACUAUAAGAUAAUACAUUUGUGUUGUUUUAAGCCACUAUAUUUAUGCUAAGUUGUUAUAGCAACAAAGUAUUCUUAGCUCAACCAUUAGUGCUCACAAAGACUUAGCCUUGAAUUAGCUCCUCUAGUUAAAUCUAUUCCUGGCCGCCAAGAGACAGAGAAAGGUGGCCUCUGAGGGGGUCAGGUCUUACAGCUGAAGAAGGCUGUUGGGUCUGGAGUAUGGGUGGGCUGACCACUUAGAGAUAGGGAAGGGAGUCAGAAAUUACAUUUCCUAGUAAGUAGGAUGAGAGUGAUAAUGUGACAAUUGUCAGGCCCUGCACCAGGUGUUGGGCAAUGUGCAAACCCAGUCAUCCUUAUCCUUACCCUACAGAAACACCCACGCAAGUGUGCAAGCAUGUACGUCCAAGGUUGUUCUUACAGUAUUGUUUCUAUUAGCAAAACAUUAUAAAAAUCCAAGUACCCAUCAAUUGGGAAAUACAUAAAGAUUAUGAUACAGCCACAAAAAAUGGAAUAAUAGGCAGCCAUUACAAAAAUGUACUGACUUGGAAACUGCCCUCUAUACAUAGAGAAAAAACAGCAAGUUACAGAAUGGUCUCAUAAAACAAAAACAAAAACAAACAAACCAAAAAACACUUUUCCUCCUCAAGAAAACAAAAAUAAGAACAAAAAAACCUCCUAAAUUACACAUAUGCGUAUGUGUUUGUAUGAACCUAGGAAAAUGUCAGGAAGGAUGUGAUGGCCUCUGGGGGACAGGCUUGGAGGAAGAAGGAAGCUUAUGUUUUACUUCAUAUCCUUCUGUCCUGUUCCACCUUAUUUGAACAAGCAUGUGUUGCUUUUUAUUACAAUGUUAAAAGGAAAAAUCCUUAGACUAACUAAGUUCAACAGUUUACUUGACCAAUUAAAAUGAUUCAAAACAAAGAGAAACAAAAAACAAUUUGGGAAUCAGGCAGCCCCCCAGAACCAAAACAGGUUCAGAGAACUUUCAGAGAACUCAGGCCAACACCAUGAUCAGGCAACAUUUGUAGAUAGAGAGAGAACAGAAGUGAGAUACAGAGACAACUUAAUUGGUUACAGCUUAAUUGGUUGAUUAGUUCUACCUAAACGUCUUACCUUAUUCAACUCAGCUGACCUACUGUAGUUCAUUAAGUUCAGCUGUGUGACUCACUGAACCUCAACCAUUUGCAAGAAUAUAUUCCUAAAGUAAUUAGUUUCAUUAAGCGUGAUGGCUUCAUAUUGGUUUGGUCUGCUAGGCUCAGUAAAGGACACUAAUUCAAAUCAAUGGCCUCCUAUUUUAACACAUAAUAACUUUUUUAAUGUUAAGAUAACACAGGUUAAGAAAGCAAACUUGACUGUCCUGUUCUGUGACAAACAGCUGUUAUUUGCAAAAAGGACUCCCUGGGUUGAGGGAGACCAGAGCUCCACUUAGCAAGGCCACUCAGGAAACAGAUGGACCAACUUGAGUUCUUUUUCUGUGUGAGCUCAUCUGGGGAAUGAGACACUGUGGAUCUUCUGAGUGGAAAAGUGGAGUCAUUCAAGCCCUCCUGGCUUCUACAGAGGUGAGAGCUGAAGUUCUGAAAGGGGAACUGACAUAUUCCUCUACAUUUUAUGGCACUUCCAGACUAAAAUAUAACUUUCUGGCCUCCAUUUCAGUGAACUUUGAACUUCCUCAAAACUCACACUCCCCUUUUCGUAAUCCAUAAUUUUUAUGUGAGGGAUAAAAUUUUCUGUUUUACAGCCUGAUCCUGGCUACUUACAGAAUGGCUGCACUUUAAACCCAAGGUGUUCUUUGCACCCUGUAGCCCCAGCCCAUAAAAGAGACAAACACUGGCAGAGAGAUGGUCCCAGGAGAGCAGCCGGGAGGAGGCACUGGAGUUCAGGGCUCCAGUCCCAGCUCUGCUCAUCUGGCUCCUAUGACGAGGGUUGUAUCCAGUGUGUGGACGUCCCCUCUCCUCAGGCUGGAAACCCUCUGAGGUCAGUGCAGAGCCUCGGAAUAGCGACAUUGACAUCUGUCUGGCACAUAAUGGCCUUCAAGGUGUCCUAAGUUUACAAAGCUCUUUCCCAGGCAUCUCUCAGUUGUCUCCCAUAACAAGCCUUGGGGCCCAGUAAAGCAGGCUGUAUUAACCGCAGUUUACGGAUGAGGGAACCAAGACUUAGAGACACAAAAGUGACAGGCCCCACUCCAAGUCACUCAACAAAUUGGUCACAAAGUUCAGCACAGGACCAUAUUAUCCCCUCUCCUUCAGCCAGAGCCUCAUUUUUGCCUCUUUUAUAUCUUCUGUUUCCCAGGUAGAUUUUGCUUGAUAAAAAGGGGUCUGCUGCUUUAAAAGGUUUGAAAGCUCCAGAAUAAUGUUUCCAAAUUCCCCGCGAAUACUUCUGUUCAGUAUUCAGGAAUGAGAAAUUGAAAUUUCUGGGAAUUCAUGAGCAUUCCUGAAAUUAUACAUUAAAUUUUUUUUUUUUUGGAGACAGGAUCUUACUCUGUCACCCAGGCUGGAGUACAGUGGUACGAUCAUAGCUCACUGCAGCCUCGAACUCCUGAGCUCAAGUGACCCUCCUUCCUCAGCCUCCCGAGUAGCUGAGACUAUAGGUACAUGCCUAUAGAGUGUGCCCCUAACAUCUUCAUGUUAGCCAUUAGGGUGCUCCUGGCUAUUUUGUUUUCUUCUUUUCUAGAGACAGAGUCUUACUAUGUGACCAGGCUGGUUUUGAACUCCUGGCCUCAAGCUAUCUUCCUGCUUCAGCCUUUCAAAGUGUUGGGAUGACAGGUGUGAGUCACUGCGCCUGGCUCAUAUUUUCUAUAACAUUAUAUUCACAUACUUUUAAAUAAUAAUGAAUGACCAGAAUAAUAAACAGUUAAUAAUUGUCAGUGACAAAUUGAUGCUAAAAGUUCCAGACUUUUUCCUUAAGGUUUAUUAUUAUUAUGAACCAAUAUGUUGUGACAAGAUUAUUUCAAUAACAUAAAAAUUAUCUCCACCUGAUAUAGGCACUGGAUAUAGAAAACAUUAAAAAGGAGGGAACAUUAUUGCAAAAUAAAUGCCAGAUAAAAAUCACUUAAAAAUGGAAAAAUAAUAGCACAAACAUUUAAUUUUAAAAGUUAUUUUUAAAAUGAACUUUUAAAACACAAAGCUUUAAUUGCUCUAUCUGAUAGUUUUGAUCUUUGUUUUGUGACAAAUAUUCUAGAUGUAGGAAACUUUUUUGUUUUUUCAUUUUUCAUUGAUGUUGGUUGAGUGUGCCCCUAACAUCUUCAGGUUAGCCAUUAGGGUACAUGUUGUUUUAUAGAAGCUCAUUUCCUUUUUAAAUGAUGCUUUAUUUUUAUUUUUACUUUUUGGUCUGCUUACUCUGGUCUUGAUUUUGCCAUUGAGAUCAAUAUUGCUCUUGCUAAUUCAGAUUUUAGAGCAAUUUCUGAUUUCCUUCUGGAGUGUUCUAUAACAGCAAUCACGUCUUCUUUUUGCAUCUCUUCUGUUAAAGUAUUUACAAAGAACUGUAGCCUAUAAUGAAUAUUCAACACGUGGAAAUGCCAGCAAUCAUUACUGGGAAGUGUUCAAAUAACUAACAUUCAGACUCACUAACAAGGUUCAUAGAAUCACUUGUUGGAAUUGCCAGUUUCAAGACUUAUUUUGCUUUCAAAAUUUGUUAUUUUUUUCCGACACUGCUCAUAGGACUUGUAUAAGUAUCCUAUGUGUACAAACUUACCAAUAUUUGUUUUAUUUGCAAAAAUGACUUACCAUUAGAAGCAGACCAGGUCACAAACACACACUUAUAACCAGUGUGUGCUGGUAAACUGACUCUCCUGGAGAAAAAAAAAAAAACCCUUAUAUGUAGGGUUUGCCAAAUUCUGAGGGGAGGCAUAAAUGUUCCCACAAUGGUCAAUGCCCAGCUACCGAGGGGAUGUCACUGAGAGCUGGGAAGAGCAGCAUACAACUGGCUCUUCUUGAGCCAGCGCUAGCCCACCACCACCUCUACCCUGGCAACAGCAGUCGGAAGACUGAUUAGAUGAUGGCCUUUUCUCUCCUCUACUCCCCAGUUCCAUUCAGAACUUAACUUUCCUAUGGGUGCCUCAGUAUUUUCUACUCUCGCUUUUGAUUUGGUGUCAGUGGAUUCCUUUGAACUAGUCACAUCUAGUUCAACAUGUUGAUUGCUAAGCUUUAAUUCUCACACAAAAACACUCUUACCAGGUUCCUAGAUGUCUUAACUUCUUUUUCUCAGGAAUUGGCAUUUGGAAAAACAGUAUUUCCGAGAAAUGCUGGGAAGGAAUUCCUGCAUAAAAACACAAAUCUGGCCGGGCACGGUGGCUCGUGCCUGUAUUCCCAGCACUUUGGGAGGCUGAGGCAGGUGGAUCAUGAGGUCAAGAGAUCAAGACCAUCCUGGCCAGCAUGGUGAAACCCCAUCUGUACUAAAAAUAUAAAAAUUAGCUGGGCGUGGUGGUGCGCGCCUGUAGUCCCAGCUACUCGGGAGGCUGAGGCAGGAGAAUCACUUGAACCCGGGAGAUGGAGGUUGCAGUGAGCCGAGAUUGUGCCACUGCACUCCAGCCUGGGCAACAGAGGGAGACUCCAUCUCAAACAAAGCAAAACAAAACACAACACAAAUCCAGGAAACCCAAGUAAAACCUAUUUGCUUGACUGAUCGUGAUCCUACUGGAUACAUUCUCCUGGGUCCCAAUUUUGGCCACCGCUCAUUUUCAUUGAUCUCAUUUUAAGGGGUUUGAGGUAUGGAGUCCUUAGGAUUUGGUGUUAAGUUUGGUGAUUUUUCAGAGAGGCCGCACCAGAGCUGCAUCGGUGAUCAUUUGACUUUAUGUCUGACCCUGUGCACAGGGGUCUACUUGUCUCCUAACCUCAGUUUUCCUCUUUUUCCUUAUUAGAAAAACAACAAUAACAUCAACACAGUCCCUCUUGGAACUAGGAAUGGCCAGUAGAAGUGGUGUGUGACUUCUGGGAAAUGUCCUUAAAUAGAGGCGGAAUACUCUUCUUUGUUUUUUCUCCUUUAUCUGGCCAGAAUGUAGAUAUAAUGGCUGGAGCUACAGAAGUCAGAUUGGACCAGAGUGGCCUUGGGAGUAGAAGCCCCAUUUGGGGGAACAAUAAGAUAAAAGGGGCCUGGGUUCCUGAUACUGUGGGAGCCCAUAUCAGUCCUAUACUGCCUUCUUCCAGGCUUUUAUACCAAAGCAAAACAGUCUUAUUUAAACCACUAUUGAUAUGUGGUUUUCUAUCACUCAUAACUGAAACAAAUUAAACAGCACACCAGUGCAUUGUAUUCUGUUACAUAGUUUAUGGGAGGCCAUUGUUUUGGACUAGCCUCCUACACUGGCCCUAGCAGAGCAGAUCAAACCAGAGCAGAGUCACCUGUGCUAACUGCCAAGUCAUCAAACCGGACUUUGAAAUGAGGCAGUUUUCCAAAAACGCAGGAGCUUCCAGUCACCCUGAAUCAGCACAAUAAAAAGUGCCCUCUGCUUUAACCCUAUAAGGAAAGCAACUUUGAAAUGACCAAUCUGCUUUUUGUUCCCUGUUUCUGCUUUCUUCAGCCCUCUUUUAUCCAUAAAGCCAAACUUCUCUGCCCACUUCACUGGAAUACUCAUUCUAUUUCGUAGAAUGAGGUGUUGCCUGAUUCUAGAAUCACAAAUAAAAGCCAAUUUGAUCAUUACAAAUAAUUUGUUGUAAUUUUGCCUUUGGGAAGUUCCUAGUGAAAGCAAAAGCUACUAGCAAGAAUCCUUGAAAGGUUUGUAAUGGAGGUGAAAAUGAAAGACUGUAGCAUUACCCAGUGACUCAGAGAGUGUGGGGGAGGCAGCUGCAUCUAGUGAUAAUGGAUGAUACAUUUGGAAUAGAAGAGGCUGUGGUUUCAUGCAUGCCUGUCUUCCCAUCUGCCAAGAAGGCUGAUGAAUAAGCUUUUAUACUCCUCUAAGUUGGUAAAAGAAGUUUUCAGAUUUUUAAUACUCAAAGGUCUUUUCACAAAUGACUAUGACCUUUUCUUUUCUUUUCGAGACAGGGUUUCACUCCCGUCGCCCAGGCUGGAAUGCAGUGGUGAAAUCUCGGCUCACUGCAACCUCUGCCUCCUGGGCUCAAAUGAUCCUCUCGCCUCAGCCUCCUGAGUAGCUGGGACUACAGGCAUGCAGCACUGCGCCCAGCUAAGUUUUGUAUUUUUUCUAGAGACGGAAUUUUGCCGUGUUGCCUAGGCUGCUCUGGAACUCCUGAGCUCAAGUGAUCCACCUGCCUUGGCCUCCUGAAGUGCUGGGAUUACAGGUCGGAGCCACUGCGCCUGGCCUCUAUGCCUGUGGUCUUUAGUUUGUAGGAACCAGACCACUCAAAGGCUGGAACGUACCUUAUUGCUCUGCCAGUGAAUGGUUUAGGAACUGGCUGAAGGAGCUGGGGAUUCAGUCUAGGAAGAACUUACAGGAGUUGGGAUUGGGUUUGAGAGCUGCUUUCACACAUCUAAGUAAAAAAGAUUUAGCCUUCCUCACAGAGGGCUCUAGGCCAAAACCAGAACCCAAAGGUGGAGGCUGCCAACUUUACCCUAAAUUAAAGAGAAACCUCCUACCCAUCAGAACUGGAUGGAGGUAGCUUUUUGAUAGCAACUCUCCACUGCUGGGAAUAUUUAAUCAAAGGAUGCAGAAGGAGUCAUUAACUGAGCAGCAGUUCCCAUAUACCAGCCUAUGUAUUGGUACCUACCUGUCUAUAACAUUUUCCAGGUCUCAGCCAGGCACGGUGGCUCAUGCUUGUAAUCCCAGCACUUUGGGAGGCUGAGGUGGAAGGAUCUCUUGAGCCCGGGAGUUACCAGCCCGGGCGACACAGGGAGACCCUGUCUCUACAAAUAAUUUAAAAAUUAGCCAGGCAUGAUGGUGCACACGUGUGUGGUCCCAGCUACUUGGAAGGCUGAGGAGGAGAAUCAAUUGAGCCCAGGAGGUCGAGGCUGCAGUGAGCUGUGAUUGUGCUACUGCACUCCAGCCUGGGUAACAAAGCAAGACCCUGUCUCAAAAAAAAAAAAAAAAAAAAAAAGAGAGAGAGAGAGAAAAAAAGGCAAUGUAGUACAUUUUAAAAAUAAAACUAAAUAUUUGCAAUUUGAAGUACAUUCUCUUUAUUCCAAGAUUAUGUUCUUUCUAUUUCAGGAGGUGUUAUAAUGUCUUUUUUUAGUAGUAGGUGGUAUUAGCUAUUGUUGUUUAACACCCUAAUUAGACAACAUAAAAUCUUGGCAAUCCUAUAUAAUUCCAUUAAAAUUUACACUGGCUAUAAGAUCUAGAAGUCUGGUAAUAUGGAUGAGAUGACACCUGGUUGUCUGAAUUGACCUUCCAAGGAUUAGUAGUUCAUUCGAGUGUCUACUAGAUGCCAUUUUUGUGUAUUUACAGCAACUAGAUAAUUUCAUGGUUCAAAUCAGAGAAACCAGUAAUGUGAUCCACGUGCUUAUGGUAACUUAAACUUUAUUGACUAUUCAUUUUUGACACAUAUAGCUACUUUUUGAUAGACAUGAAUUUUCUAUUUGCAUUUAAAAACAAAACUAAUUUUCAAAGUUCUAUUCUCAAAAUGGCAAUGAUGACCUUUCUAAAUGCUCUCUUUAAAUAAUCCUCCAAUAUUCUCAGAAAUUUAGUGUACCUACAGCAAACUAUUUCUCUUAGUAAAAGCCUUCUGUGAGCAACUUAACUGUCUGAUGUCUUUAUCCGUGUGAGCAGGGACUGGGUCCUGUCCUUUUUCUUUUUUUUUUUUGUUUGAGAUGGAGUCUCCCUCUGUUGCCAAGCUGGAGUGCAGUGGCAUGAUUUUGGCUCACUGCAACCUCCACCUCCAGGGUUCAAGUGAUUCUCCUGCCUCAGCCUCCCAAAGUAGCUGGGACUACAAGUAUGCGCCACCACGCCUGGCUAAUUUUUGUAUUUUUAGUAGAGACAGGGUUUCACCAUGUUGGCCAGGAUGGUCUCGAUCUCUUGACCUCAUGAUCCUCCUGCCUCGGCCUCCCAAAGUGCUGAAUUACAGGUGUGAGCCACCACGCCUGGCCUGGUCCUGUCCAUUUUUACAGAGCAGAGAGCAUCUAGCAUGCCACCACAUUAAUGUAAUGAUAAUAAUUUCCAUUUGUCUAGAGACUUAUGCUUUACAAGGCCCUUAUAGUUUACUUCCCCUUAAUGGUAGUUCAAGUAGCAGAGAAUGACCUUUUCAUUGUCCUUCUCUGUGAUAAGCCAAAGUGAAUGUAAUGUACAUUCUUCAUAGUGAAGGCUUUCUACCUCAUUCAUUUAUUCACAAAAUAUUUAUUGAGCAUGAUUAUGUGUUAAGCACUGAACUGUGCUCUGUGCUGCUGGGCACUGUGUGUUAGGUACAAACACGGCAGAUGGAGCCCCUUCCCCCAUGAAAUGAACAUUCUAAUGGGGCGUUAGUCAAUAAACAAAUAAAUAAAUAGAUUGUCAGGGGGUAAUGAGUGUUAUGGGGAAGAAUAAAGCAGUGGGAGCUGGGAAGCAAUGGGAGGAUGUCAAUCUUAGGGACAUGAGAAGGCACCCUCAUGCAGAGACUUGGGCAACGUGAAGGAUCGCCACUGUGUGACCAACUGGAGGAAGCACGUUCCAAGUCUUGUGGCAGAAAGGAGCUUGGCUGUUUGAGAAUCAGCAGUGAUAUCAGUGUGGCUGGAGGGAAGGGAAGGUGGGACGAGUGGGUGGGAGAUAAUUUCCAGAGGUGGACAGGAUGCAGAUUAUAUGGGAGUUUGGAUUUGAUUCUCAAGUGUGAUGGGACACUAUUGGAGGGUUUUGAGCUGGGGAGAGACAUGCCAUGAAAUGUGAAGUCUGGCCUGCAGGGAAGCAGGUACACCAACUGAAUGAGUUCAAUUUGGAGAUAUAUAUAUUUGAGAUGGAGUUUUGCUCUUGUUGCCCAGGCUGGAGUGCAAUGGCACGAUCUCAGCUCACCGCAACCUCCGCCUCCUGGAUUCAAGCAAUUCUCCUGCCUCAGCCUCCCGAGUAGCUGGGAUUACAGGUGUGUGCCACUACGCUCGGCUAAUUUUGUAUUUUUUUAGUAGAGAUGGGGUUUCUUCAUGUUGGUCAGGCUGGUCUCGAACUCCCAACCUCAGGUGAUCCGCCCACCUCGGCCUCCCAAAGCGCUGGGAUUACAGGUGUGAGCCACCGUGCCCGGCCCAAUUUGGAUAUAUUUUAAAGGACUACCUGAUGCGUUAAAUGUAGAAGAUGGGGGAAUGUAGAAUGCUCCACAGAGUUUUGUCCUGAGCAGCCAGGAGAAAACAAGAUGGAACCCAGUGACUGGCCACCAUGGACACAUGCAAGGGAGAAGGAGAAGUCCCCAGUAGGAAAAGGAAUGUGUACAAUGAAAUGUAAUGAUGUAUAAUACAUUGGCUGUUUUUGAAUUCCAACCAUGGAUUUCCCAGCUACUGGCAGUGAAACUGAUCUUUUCUGUGACACGCCUGUCCCCCUUUGUCUUCUGCCAUGAGUGGAAACUUCCUGAGGCCUCACCAGAAGCUGAGCAGAUGCUGGUACCAAACUUGUACAGCCUGUAGAACCACAAGGCAAAUAAAUCUCUUUUUGAAAAUAGAUUACCCAGUCUCAGAUAUUCCUUUAUGGCAAUGCAAAAUGGACUAACACACAGCCCUAAACCUAAUUAAACCCCUAGAAACCAUUACAUCCUCCAAAGUAAUCAAUUCCCCCAAAACUAAUCAUACCCCUUCCCCUAAGCACUCCCAAUCACCAAGUUAACCACUAGCCAUGAUCCACCAAUCAUCCAUGAAACAAAUGUCAUUGUGGCAGAGACCACUAAUCUUUCAAUAUCCAUUUUUCACUUCCUCAUUUCACCAAUAAAACCCUCUACAUUUUAGCUGAGCACAUGACCUCACAGACAGAUAUGAUAUCUCCUGCAAUCCUUUGCAUCUGGGUAAGGCCAUAUGACUAACUUCUGGGUAAUGAGAUGUUUGCAAAAACAAUGCGUUCAACUUCCAAGUCAAGUCCUUAGGAAAAACUAUCCAUUCUUUCUCUGUCCCCCUUUCUUUGGGCUGGACGGUUUGAAGGGAAGUGGUGAGCCGGAUUUAAUCAUUUGCAUGAGGACAACACUAUAGGGUAAGGUGGAGCAGGAAGAAAGAAUGGGGCACCCAAGUCUUCUUGGGGAGCAGUGCAGCCUACAUGCCUUGGACUGUCUACUUUGGCCCCAGAUGUAAUGUAACAAGACUACGCAUCUUAGCAAGAUGAAAAAUUGUUUAAAAAAUUAAGUUUCCACUU
Molecule: long non-coding RNA, 21843 nt
Filed under: Homo sapiens (human)
Lineage: Eukaryota; Metazoa; Chordata; Mammalia; Primates; Hominidae
Description: HSALNT0351799
Source: RNAcentral